UGGGGAAUAUUGGACAAUGGGCGAAAGCCUGAUCCAGCCAUGCCGCGUGAGUGAUGAAGGCCCUAGGGUUGUAAAGCUCUUUCAACGGUGAAGAUAAUGACGGUAACCGUAGAAGAAGCCCCGGCUAACUUCGUGCCAGCAGCCGCGGUAAUACGAAGGGGGCUAGCGUUGUUCGGAAUUACUGGGCGUAAAGCGCACGUAGGCGGAUUGUUAAGUUAGGGGUGAAAUCCCGGGGCUCAACCCCGGAACUGCCUUUAAUACUGGCAAUCUCGAGUCCGAGAGAGGUGAGUGGAAUUCCGAGUGUAGAGGUGAAAUUCGUAGAUAUUCGGAGGAACACCAGUGGCGAAGGCGGCUCACUGGCUCGGUACUGACGCUGAGGUGCGAAAGCGUGGGGAGCAAACA
RNAcentral lists this ribosomal RNA (402 nucleotides) under uncultured Mesorhizobium sp. RNAcentral's name for it is "bacterial SSU rRNA". It matches the Rfam family "Bacterial small subunit ribosomal RNA", at positions 355 to 774 of the family's 1533-position model. The record is from RNAcentral. Lineage: Bacteria; Pseudomonadati; Pseudomonadota; Alphaproteobacteria; Hyphomicrobiales; Phyllobacteriaceae.